Taeniopygia guttata (zebra finch) is the source of this 1819-nucleotide non-coding RNA. NCBI's taxonomy places the organism in Eukaryota, Metazoa, Chordata, Aves, Passeriformes, Estrildidae. The record is from RefSeq and is a predicted model, not a curated record.
AUUAAAGUUGAAAUAUAGUAUCUUCUGAUGGCUUUCCUCUGACAGAAUACUGCUAUUCACACAGAAUUAAUAUACAGACAUUUUCUUUAGCAAGCCAAUGAAAUUUUAGGAACAAAACUUUGGUUAUUUUUAACUAGAGUCAUCAUAAACAGACUUCACUUGAAGAUAAAAUGGAAACCCAUGUGUUUUCCAAAAAAGGAAUUUCAUGGUAAAUGUUUCCUUAAUGUUAUUAUUGAGUCUAUUUUCAUUUUCUGACCACAGAAAACUUGCUCCAUAGUCCUUACUCUGUAAUCAAAGCUUACAUACAACUAGCCUUAUUCGGUCUGAGGUUUUUCAAGCACAAAACUGCAGCAGAAAGAAACACACCUCCUGCUUUUAAACAGUUCUUGCUAUUCCUUAGGUAUUUUAGACAGAUGUUUGUCGAAAAUUUUCUUAAAGACCUUCAGCAACAGGGAUUUCACAGUACAUAUCACAGCAUUUUGUUUGUCUUAACAGAACUGCCCCUCAAAUGGCAGGAAAAGCAAGGGACAAAAUUGCAUCUCAUCUGGGUCAUUUAUUACCAACUUGUCUUCGUAACCUGUGUGAUUUCAACCAAAAUCAUCUUCAUCCCCACUGGCAUCUGUGUUUUGGACUUUAUUGUGCAUUUUAUAAAUCUUCAUGUUGUUACUUUAAUAAGCACAGGAACUGCCAGCAAAGCCAAGCCACAGCUAUUAACAUCCAGCCAGGCUUCCUUAGACAGGAUUCUCCUGUGGAAAGUAGUAUUCCAGUCACACCACUCAUGAUUAACUGCUCAGGAUUUCUAUUCACCCAGGGAACAAGUACUUCUUCAUGCUACCUAAGUUUGGAAGAAAAAUUCUGCUUUGGUGAAUGCAGCUCCCUCUGUUCUUCUCCCCCUUGCCCUCCACAGAAUCUUUGUAGCUUUGUAUCCAAAUGUAGAGAGCCACAUCUUGUGUAAUAAGAGAAGUUUGAUUUGAUGCCAAAAUGCUUACAAACCAAAGAAGCUAUUAAAAAAAGCCUUAACUGGGGACUUAACUAUUGAGCAAGGUCUGGUAGUUUCCUCCCAAAUGCAAAACUGAAGCUGUCUCUGUAAGUCUGGCGGGGAAGAAGCAUUUACUGCCUCAAUGACUAUUUAAACUCAAAGUCUGCCUAAAACUAGGUUUUCUUUUUUAAAAUGGCAAAAAGCUUUCGUAUAAGACUAUGCUCCUUGUACUUCGUUGAAGAAUACAUCCAAUCUUACUAAAUCCUAAUGAGAUUAAGGAGAUACAUUGUUCAUGCCACCAGUCAACCAACAAUCAAAUAGCAAGAGGAGCAGAGGCAGAGUGAUGUCAGGCCACUGUGAGGAAGACAGCUUCCAAUUCAUCACCAGUACCAGCCACUAUGAUUUAAGCCUAAAGCCCUUCACCAAGGGAGGAGAUUUAACUUUCUUUAGAGCUUUUAGAGAUAUUUUCAUUCCAUUUUAACUGCAGAUAUUUUCAGCAUUUUGACUGAAAUUCAACAAAUUAUCUAAAUCAUGUGUUUCCAUAUUGCCUGGAAAGAGGAAAACAGGAAUGGGCUUUCAUUCAAAAUUAGAUGUGCAUUGAUCUAUCUGUGGCAAGACAACCUUUUGAAGCAAGGCAGCAGAAAAUCAAGCACAUGGUGGAAACUAAGGAGGAGUCUGCCACAGGAACUACAGGAGUAUGUACAGAGCUGUAUAAAAGGACUUGAAGAAAAAUAGCAGGGUCAUGCAAGUCACCCUUGGUUGCCACAUCUGGACUGGACUGAGGUUAGCAGCUUGUCCUUUCUGGCAUUUCUUUUGGAAUGAGCUUUUUAAGAAGGUGCG